Molecule: unclassified non-coding RNA, 428 nt
Filed under: Hevea brasiliensis (rubber tree)
Lineage: Eukaryota; Viridiplantae; Streptophyta; Magnoliopsida; Malpighiales; Euphorbiaceae
Source: RNAcentral
UUUAGUAUGUAGCAUUUUUUUUUUGAAUGGCCUGUCCUUGUUGAUGGGAAUGACUUGCAAAUAUUAUUAGCUUCAUGCCUGCAUCUGCUGUGUUAUAUUAAGAAUUUUACAGCCACCCACAAGUCUGGUUCCGUGAAAUAUUAAAAAGAGUUUGAAACCCGCAAGAUUAGCUCUUUAAUAAAUUUAUUUAAUUGAUUGUCAUACGUUUACAUUUAGCAGUUAGAGCAUGUGUAUCAUUUGGUGAGCCAUUUUGAGAUGACCCUGGCCCAGCCACCCUGCACCUUGUCUGUGGAUAUUGUAAGGGAUCAGUUGAGCCUAUUUCUGAUUAUAUUUUGAAAUAAUUUGGUAAUUGCAAGAUAAUGUUGAACUGUAUGCUCUUCAAUGUUGGAUUUUAUAAUGCAAAACCCUGUGAUUGCUUCAUCUCUGAU